This 433-nucleotide ribosomal RNA is filed under the name uncultured bacterium. Its description in RNAcentral is "partial 16S ribosomal RNA". It matches the Rfam family "Bacterial small subunit ribosomal RNA", at positions 29 to 507 of the family's 1533-position model. The record is from RNAcentral.
AACGAACGCUGGCGGCAUGCCUAACACAUGCAAGUCGAACGAGCCCUUCGGGUCUUGUGGCGCACGGGUGCGUCACGCGUGGGAACCUGCACUUAGGUUUGGAAUAACUCCCCGACAGGGGUGCUAAUACCGGAUAAUGUCUUCGGACCAAAGAUUUAUCGCCUUUGUAUGGGCCCGCGUUGGAUUAGCUAGUUGGUAGGGUAAUAGCCUACUAAGGCGACGAUCCAUAGCUGGUCUGAGAGGAUGAUCAGCCACACUGGGACUGAGACACGGCCCAGACUCCUACGGGAGGCAGCAGUGGGGAAUAUUGGACAAUGGGCGAAAGCCUGAUCCAGCAAGGCCGCGUGAGUGAUGAAGGCCUUAGGGUUGUAAAGCUCUUGUACCCGGGAUGAUAAUGACGGUACCGGGAGAAUAAGCUCCGGCUAACUCCGUG